UCCUCUUUACAGAGGCAGUUUGUUUCGAGUUCCCGGCAUUACCCGCUGGCAACAAAACAUGAGGGUUGCGCUCGUUGCGGGACUUAACCCAACAUUUCACAACACGAGCUGACGACAGCCAUGCACCACCUGUGUAUCACCUUCGAAAGCGACUGCUUUUCGGCAGCUUGCAGAUACAUGUCAAGCCCUGGUAAGGUGGGGAUGACGUAUCUUACAGCGUAC
RNAcentral lists this unclassified non-coding RNA (222 nucleotides) under uncultured bacterium. RNAcentral's name for it is "contains 16S-23S intergenic spacer region". The record is from RNAcentral.